Molecule: long non-coding RNA, 428 nt
Filed under: Gossypium barbadense (sea-island cotton)
Lineage: Eukaryota; Viridiplantae; Streptophyta; Magnoliopsida; Malvales; Malvaceae
Description: long non-coding RNA (GBAR_LNC019910)
Source: RNAcentral
UAAAAAAAUCAAGAAAACGAGAGAUCGAUUUUUAAAGGUGGUUCUUCUUUUAUUCUUUUUUUUUCUGCAUUUUUUUGGUCUUGUUCUUUCAUUUUUCCUAUUUUUUAUUUAUAUACAUACAACAACAAGCAAAAGAAAAAGGGAUUAGAACUCUUACCUGGACGCUCUAGGAUCCGCGCGAAAAGGAGCCGAGAAGCCCUUGGUGGUGAGGCUCCAACCACCGUUCAUGGUGGAACUGCGGCAGAGGAGGGCGAGAGGGCUUAGUUUUUUUUUUUACGGCUUAAAAGGGAGGUCUGAAUGUUAAGGCUUUAGGGUUUUGAUUUCGUUUUUACAAGUUACAAGAAAUGGCACCAUUUAGGGCCCGUUUCAAUGGCUCUAAAACUGUGUCGUAUAGGCCCGCACCCGAUGACCCGAUCCAACCGCGGCUA